UAAAAAACGCAACAAAAUGAUCAUUCCAAUUUUGUAAAAAAAAAGAAAAAUAUAAUUUAUAAAAUAACGAAUAAAUAAAUAAAUAAAUAAACAAAUUCAUGAGUAGGUAAGUAAACGAGUGGUCAGGCAGGAGAUAAGACAGGCGAUAAAACAAACGACAUACGGACAGACAAACAAACAAACCGACCGACUAACAAACCGGGCCAAAGUCAUCACACAAUGAAAGACAUAAAACUGCUGUUAAAAAAAGUUAAAAUCCAAACGAAAAAGGAAUUUGAAAAAGAAGUAAAACUGUUAGUGGACACAAAAAAAUACUUCGAUAAGAUUAAAAAAAAAAGUACAAAUGAGAAAUGUAUUGCUAAAGAAGAAGAUGAUGAUUAUGCUGAUAAAAAAAAGUUGAAUGAAUGUCAUUCAUAUAUAAAAAGAGUUUACGAGGGUAUUGAACGUAUAAGUGUUUUCGAAAAUGGUUAUUAUUUUAAUAUAUUAAACUGUUAUGAUAAAAGUUCUUAUUACAACCAUUGUAUGAAUUAUGAUAAUAAAAACAUUAAUUUAUAUAAUUUUACUGAAGUAGAAGAUUCAGAAAUAGAAAAUAUGAUUAAUCUUUUUCAUAUUUAUAUAAUUCGAAAACAUUGUGAAAAGCAAUUUUAUGAAUGUUUACAUAAUAAAUUUAUUCGUUCUAUGACAUAUAAUUAUUUACAAAGGAAUAUAUUCUACAAACACGUUAUUUGUGACUUUUAUCUAUUACAUAUUUAUACACGAACUAUCGCUUUUAUAUUAUUAAAAAGUGAUUAUUCAAAUAGGUACUUAAUCAAAUUAUGUAGUGAAAUUCUUUCAAAAACACAUGACCUUUUAGAUAUGCUAAAAAAAAUAUCUUCACGUGAAGGUAUACAAGGACAUAGUAUCCAAAACAAUAUACCAUAUAUAAGCUUAAUCAAGUAUGUUUAUUUUAUAAUAGAGUUUUUAUGUAAAAAUAAAAAUUAUGAUUAUAUAAAUGUACUUUAUGGUUUGCAUUCGUAUAUUUCAGUUUAUUCAAAUAUUUAUUAUGCUUGUAUGUUGUCAUUUAACAAAGAGUUAGCUGAAAAAUAUAUAUCAGAAAAAAAAAAAAAUUUAAACUCUUUACAUAGUGAAAAAGAAUUAAGUUGUUCUGCAGUAUAUAAGAAUAACACAAGUACUAAUAAUUCACACAAAAAUAAUCCUUACAAUGAUGAUAACUUUAGUUUGUAUUAUGAAUACAUAAGUCUGUAUGCUAAUAAAGAUUUAAUGGAGUUAAAUGAAAAGUUACUAUAUUUUAUUUCAAAAGAAAAAUUAAAAAAAACAAAUUGUAGUGUUAAUGACAUUUUUCAAGAUUUGAAUAUAUAUAAGCAUGCUAUUAAUUUGAUAAAAAAAUUCUUUUUUACUAAUAUAUUUGUAUGUGCGAACAUAGACACAGAAAAUAACACUUAUACUUAUACUUAUACAGGUGCGGGUACGGGUGCUGAUACAUCAUACACAUGUACAGAUACAAACGACAAUUUAUUAUACGAUAAUAAUCACUAUAGUAACAUAUGCAAAUAUAAUAAUAUUUAUAUUACUAUUAUAAGCAAAAUAUACGAUUUCUCUCAACAGAGUCCUUUGUAUUAUGAACCUAAUUUAAAACUUUGCACAUCUUAUUUAAACAAUGAAAAAAAUAAUUGUAUAAAUCAUAAUCUUUUAAAAAUUGCAUCAAGUGACACUACAUAUCUUGAUCAGGAUAAGUAUUUAUAUGACCAUGAUGUAAAUAAUAGUUUUAAAAACAAUAAAAAUAGUCACCUAUUUUUUGAAAAUGUACAAUUUAAUAUAGACAAUCAUUUUUUUAAACAAUGUUUAAAGAAAUGUUGUACAUUUAAAAAACCAAUGGAAUUGGGAAUUAUUGAAGAAGAUGUCAUGGGUAGUUGGAAUAACCAUAACCAUAAUAAUACUAUGAAUAGUAAUACUCAAAAUGGAAUUACAAUUAUAAAUGAUACAUAUAAUAGUGAUUGCAGUUAUAGUAGUACCACAAGUGAUAGUAUAGACAAUUCAUGGUUAAUCGAAAAAGAACAAUUUUUAAAUACAUUUAAUAAUUCCAUUGAAAAUAAAGAAAAGGUUUUAAAAUGUAUAGAUGAAUUUUAUUAUAUUGCAAUAGAUUUUGAUAAAACAAUUAUAAAAAGAGAUUCGUAUAAUUUUUUUUUUAAGCUAUUAAUAAAAGAGUACUACAGUAGUAGUAGUAGUAGUAGUAGUAGCAACCAUAAUAAUACUAUCCCUACUAUAGCUACCUCCACUACUAUUGAUGCAAUUAACAAACAAACAACACUAACAGAUGAUGAAAUAUAUUUUUUUGACAGUUUUACUGUAGACAAAAUGAACAACAAAAAAGAACAUACAAUUGAAGAAAGAGUUUCAUAUUUUAAUAAAAUUUCCGAAUGGUUUUGUUUAAAAGAAAAAAAGGUUUUGAAAGAAUUAGAAGAACAAGAUAAAAUAGAAACAGUGUAUUCAGAAUCUUAUUAUUAUUAUCUUAAUGCAAUAGAUAAAAUACAUGUAAACUUUACUAUGUUAAUAUCAUAUUACGACAUAUUAAAAGGUGUUGAUUUUGAUUUAAUGAAUAAAAUAAUAAAUGAUAAUUAUGAAAAUUUCCAAUUAAAUGACUAUUUUUUAAACGUAUUUUUAAAUUUAAUUAAUUACAAACAAAAAAAUAUGAAAACAUUUUAUUUCGACGUUAUAACAUUAAAUUUUAAAAAACAAAUUUGCCUGAACACUUUAAAUCAAAAUCUAAUCAAACUAAAAAAAAUGAGCUAUGCUGAUGAUGUUGAUGAUGUUGAUGAUGUUGAUGAUGUUGAUGAUGUUGAUGGUGUUGAUGAUGUUGAUGGUGUUGAUGAUGUUGAUGGUGUUGAUGCUGAUGAUGAGCAUGAUGAGCAUGGUGAGCACGUUAAGCAUGGUGAGCAUGUUAAAAAAGAAAUGUCAACCGGAUUGGCUACUAAAAAAGAGGAAAGUAACUAUGUAUAUAACAUACAUGAUAAUAAUGAAAGAUGUGGUAACGACAUUGGUAAUACAAAUUGUGAUCAUGACAAAACCAAUGUAAACUAUUAUUACCAAUUUAAAAAAUAUUUCAACAUAUACUAUUCCAAAACACAUACAUAUAACAAACAAACUAGAAAACAUACUGGAUUGUUUGAAUUUAAUAAACUUAAAAUAAAACAUCAAAAUUAUAUCGAAAAUAAUAAUAAUAUAGAAUAUAUAACUUUUAUGUCACUCUAUGAUAAAACCUUAAUAAAAGAAAAAGUAUGUAACUUGCUUACAAAUAUAAAUCAUAAAUUAAGCACAUUUAUUGGUGAUAGCAUAAUUGAUAUAGAUGCGAUGCUAAGUUCCGACAUUCCCAUUUUAUUUGGGAAAAAUCCAAUCGUUUUAAAAUUUUGUGAAAAACAUAACAUAGCUAUUAAAAAUUUGAUGUGUGCUGCAGCAAAAAUUGAGUAUCUUAAAUUAAUAAAAAGAAGUGAGAAUGACAAAAGACAAAAAGAUUGUGCUGAUAAUAGUGUUAUCACACACAAUGUUAACAAAAACAACACCAAAAGAAAAACUACAAAAGAGAAAUUCAAAGUAAUAACUGAAAGUAGGAAUGAACAAUUAAAUGAUAUUUAUAAUGAAAAUCAAAAAGUCAUAUUUGCAACUGAAAGUUGGUUAGAGAUUGGUAUGUUUUUUUUUGGUAAAAUUUGAAGCAGAUUCAAA
RNAcentral lists this long non-coding RNA (3717 nucleotides) under Piliocolobus tephrosceles (Ugandan red Colobus). RNAcentral's name for it is "lncRNA (ENSPTEG00000010179.1)". Lineage: Eukaryota; Metazoa; Chordata; Mammalia; Primates; Cercopithecidae. The record is from RNAcentral.